GACCUCAAAUCAGGUAGGACUACCCGCUGAACUUAAGCAUAUCAAUAAGCGGAGGAAAAGAAACCAACAGGGAUUGCCUCAGUA
RNAcentral lists this ribosomal RNA (84 nucleotides) under Candida albicans. RNAcentral describes it as "partial 28S ribosomal RNA". It matches the Rfam family "Eukaryotic large subunit ribosomal RNA", at positions 1 to 85 of the family's 3401-position model. The record is from RNAcentral. Lineage: Eukaryota; Fungi; Ascomycota; Pichiomycetes; Serinales; Debaryomycetaceae.